This is a small nucleolar RNA of Sorex fumeus (smoky shrew), 213 nucleotides long. RefSeq annotates it as small nucleolar RNA U3. The transcript has a single exon. The record is from RefSeq and is a predicted model, not a curated record. NCBI's taxonomy places the organism in Eukaryota, Metazoa, Chordata, Mammalia, Eulipotyphla, Soricidae.
AAGUCUGUACUUUCAGGGAUUAUUUCUUUAGUUCAAUACUAGAGAAGUUUCUCUGAUCAUGUAGAGCACCCAGAACCACAAGGAGGAGCGAAGGCAUCCUUCCCUGAGCAGGUAUCUGGUUCUAGGUAUUGCUUUUGCAACUACAUUUUACCAAGAUGAUUGUUCUUCUCUUCUUUUGGAAGAGAAAGAGGGAGAGGAUGCAGUCUGAGCGGU